GAUAUCAUCCUGGAGGAGGAUGGUGAAUGUUGAAAUAUCUGAAUGACGGCCUACUCCCACUGUGAGUUCAGGAUUGGGACACAUAGGAUAGUAGUUGAGGUUAACUCUUCUUGAACCCAACAACAUAGGUUCUCUUAUUUCAUCAAUUCGUUUCACAUUUAGCCCCUUGACUAGCACAUGCAUUAAACGUCUAAUGAGAACCUCAGAACUCUUCAUGUACUCCAACGUUUCAUCCCUAUAAGCAAAAACAAAAAAUAAAAAGUAAAAAAAAAAUAAAAAUAAAAACAUUCAGUACACAAUCUUAGGUAUCAUGUUUGGUAUUGUGGUGAUAUAGUUUGAAAGUUACUGUGAACCAAAAGUGGUAACUAUAUAAUAAAAGUUAUGAUAAUGUAGUAAUACGACUUUUAAAAAUAAGUUUUAUAAAAAUAAUAAAGAUAUGAUAAGUUUUUUAUUAUACAAGUAGUGGAGAUUUAGUAUAUUUAAAAGUAUAUGUAUAUGUUUAUGUAUGUGUGUGUCUGUGUGUGGGCACUUACUUGCAAACAGGAGGCCAAAAUGCAGAAGUUUCUUCCUCAGAACCAUAAAAUAGGCUGAGAAAGUCUUUCCACUCCAAAGCCUUUUCCACAAGAGGAACAAAGCUCGAGCCGAGCCUCACUUUAUUGGUUGGUGAAUUCUCUUUUGAGUACUUCCUCUUCUCCUCUGCCGGUAACGCGAAAAACCUGUGGGUCGCUUCCUUUACUCUCUCGAGUACUUCCAGGGGCACACCAUGAUUCACAAUCUGGAAAAACCCCCAAUUCUCAGCGGCAUCGCAAAUGGAUUUUGCGACUUCAGGACUCUCCCAGUUUGACAUAUCAAUGAGGGGAAUUGAUACUUGAUCCAGGAUUUUCUUCUCACUGAAUCUUUCUUCCAAGGGUUGGUGAAAUUGUUUUGGGAGGCUUUUGAGUCCCAUUUCGGAGAGACCCUUCACUCCAUGACCUUUGUUUAUAACUGUGGACUUGAGUGCAAUGAAUCGAAAACUCAGAGUCCCAAAACGGUUUCGUUUUGAUCAAAUUGUUCAGUCAUUUGUCACGUGCAGCACGAGGUUUUUAAGUUCAAAGGCUAAACAACUCAGCAGCUGUCGUUUUGGAUGAACUUAAGUGAAGCACGUGGCCAGCUCGUGAAGAAGCGAAUCAAGGCUGUUAAAAACCGUUACACACGUGUCCAGAUUCUGAGCAAUCUGGGUUUCAGCAUCAGUGGUAUAAAACUGGUCGCUGAGGGAGAAACAGACGUGGUUCUGAGAGAGCUUGAGAGAGAGAUCAGAAAGUGAGAGAGGUUAUUCUUGUUGCUUGUAAUCUCUUGUUUAGAAGCUCUGUAUUUGUCUUCUUGAUUCAUCAAUAAAGCUUUUCCUGUGGCUUUUCCCGUGAAUGUAAAUUGUGCAUGUAAUGCACAAUUGAACCACGUAAGAUUCUGUUCUUGUGUGUUGUUUCUUGUUUAGGUUAAAACACUGUGAUAUUAAUCAUUAGAUCUAGAGCCUAUUGGAAUUGAGUUGGGAACUUGAUAUCUAAUCUUGGUUUCUUCUGCAUCUUGUUUGAUCAAGAACUUGAGUCUUCUGGGCAGUGGCUUAGCAUCUUGAAUCUUAAGGGGUGUUAAAUCACUACAAUAACAAAAUCAACAAUAUCCCAGGACUCAGUUGCGAGGGUAGAGCCAUUUGUUGGUGCCAUUUUUGCUUGGACUUAGCUCUCCAAGAUGGAUGGAUUAUGCUUGGUGAUGCUGCAAGUAAUUAACAUUAUUAAUGCUUAUUUAUAGUGAUUGAUUGAUUGAUGCAUUUGAUAGGUACCGAAAAAAUUCAGACAACUGAUUAUGACAUGGUUUACUUUUUUUGAAAAAUGGCAAUGGCAUGUCAAACUUGGUAUAAUAUAAUUAGAAAAAAAUGAUUCAGUUGUUUAGGAUUUUCAGUCAGUAGCAUGUCUUUUUCCCAAAAUAGUAUUACUAUUCAGUAAAAAUUGUCAAUUUGUUACAUGUAUAAUUUUAUGUGUCGUUUAUUUAUUUCUUAUCUCUAAAUGAUGAUUGAGUGAAGUCAUUUUGAGUGCUUCCCUCUUCUUUUCUGCUUAAGAAAUCUUGCUAUGCUUUCAAAAAUAAGGCCCCUUUGGACUUAUUUUUGAGAGUCUCAAAAUUGAUUUUAAAAAGUUAAAAUCUAAUUUUGAUUUUUGGUAAUUUUUUAACUUAUUUUUGAUAAAAUUACUUAUUUUACAUCAGAUUUUGAAAAGUAGAAGAAGAAUAAUUUUUUAAAAUGUGAUUUUGAGAAUCAAUUUUAUACUUAAUUGAAUUCCAUAUAUAUCCUGAUAUAUAUUAUAAAAGUUUGAAAUUAUUCUUAUUCAAUUAGGAAAUAGAAUGGUUUAAACUUAACAACAUGAUUAUUAUUGGCAACUAUAUUAGCAUAAAAAAUAAAAAUUAAUGAAGUAAAAAAGAUAUUAUAUAUACACAUUUAUUAAUGUGUAAAUAAAUUUUAUCUAACAUUAUAUCCAUUUUACUCAUUUUCAUUUUUAAAGCAGUUCAACAAUAAGUUUUAUUAAACAUAUACUACUAAUUUCUAAAAUAGAUUUUAUUAAACAUUUAACUAAUUUUCUUUAUUGCUUAUUGUUUUUAUAGCACAGUUAACGAUAAUUAUUUUAAAAGUUACAAUAUUACCAAAUUGACCCAUAGUCUUUUGAUUAUUUAACUAAUGGGAUUAGUUGGCUAAGCUAGCUUGUUAAUCAAGUGUUAGGAUUUCUCUCUCAUGAUUUCUUGCAAUUAAUUCUUUACUAUGGUGUAUGCUUUUUCAUCCUUACAAUAAAAAUAGUUAUUUUUUUCUUUUUUUUUUUUGAGAGAAAAAAGUAGUUACUCUCAUUGUGAUGUUGUAUGUGAAGUGUCAUCAUAUUUGAUAUUACUAAAAUGUUAUAAAAAAAGAAAAAUUGUUUUGCUAGAGUCUAAAAAAAUUUUGGCAAACAUAUAUGUAAGCUGCCUUAGGUGAAAGAGUCAUUUGGGUUUUACUUAGUUUGCUUUCUGUUUCAAUAAAUCAUAGUCUUUGGGGAUGUUGUUAUUUGACUUAUUCUUUGUUAAACACGUAGCUAAGAUAAUGGCUAACGUGUCCUAUUUAUAUGCUUUCUGUUAGUGUUGAAAAUGGCUAUUAAAAGCCAAGUUGAGUUUCAAUAAAAAGAUGUCAUUCAAUCCACUUUAUUAAGCUCUCGUUACUGCAGCCAAUUGAUUCUAACAAAUUGGUAUCAGAGCGAGGCGAGUGACUUGCAAACAAAGGAGAGUUUGAGAGAUGUCAAGUGCAAGCGAAGGUUCUUUCGUCCAACCAGCCAUUCCACGUUUUGAUGGUCAUUACGACCAUUGGAGUAUGCUCAUGGAGAACUUCUUAAGGUCCAAGGAAUACUGGAGUGAAAUACAAGUGUGCAACCUAAGAGAGGGGUGAAUUGAGAUUCUAAAAAUUAUUUGAUUCUAAAACAAAUUAUCAAGCAAAUCUAAAAUGAAUUUAAUGGAAUAACAAUUAAAUCAAUUACAAUAUAAAAAGAUAAGGGAAGAGAGAUUCAAACACUGAGAUUUUUACGUGGUUCGGCCAACCUCGCCUACGUCCACGCCUCCAAGCUUUCCAGGCUUGAGGAUUUCACUAAGCAACCCUCCAAGCCUUCAAAUGCUUACACUUGACUUCCAAUGUGUCAAUGAACCUUUACAACAAGAGAUUAUCCUCAAUCUCUUAACCUAAGUGUAUCCCAACACUUACAAUCACUCAAAGUAAAAGAGUAAAAAUUAUUUUUCUCUCACACAAUAUUUAAGAUUACAAAUCAAUACCCAAUGUGUGAAUAGAUGAAGCAAGAAUGUGUUUUAAAGUUUUAUGAAGAUUGUAUUCUCGAAUAUAAGCUCAAUGGUCGUGUUGUGACCAAUCUUGUUUGAAUUUGAAUGAGCUUAUUUAUAGUUGGAGAUGAAAAACUAGCCGUUAUAGACUGUCUGCUCGCAAACGGUUCACCGUUAACCAUUAACGGUUAACCGUUUAGGCUUGGUCAAAGUUACCGUUGGACCAAUUUUUAAAUAAAUGUGUUAAACAGAAGUCCUACAGUGGCGGUCAAGAAUGUCACUCCUAAAGAAGCAUGGUCUGGUGUGAAACCUUCAGUGGAACAUUUUAGAGUCUUCGGAUGUGUGGCACAUGUUCACGUCCCAGACGCCAGGAGAACUAAGCUAGAUAACAAGAGUUUUGAAUGUGUGCUUUUGGGAUUUAGUGAGGAGACAAAAGGCUACAGGCUAUAUGAUCCCAUGGCUAAAAAAGUGGUGACUAGUAGAGACGUAGUAUUUGAGGAAGAUAGACAAUGAGAGUCGGACACUAGCUAUAAGGAACAAGUGUUGGUAGAUCUUGAGUGGGGUGAUGACAAGAAUAACACAGAUGAUGAGCAUGAGGCAGAAAGUGAUGAAAAUCUUGAAAUUGCUAGUGAAGGCAAUGAAGCUGUGCGAGAUGAAAAUCAUGCAGCCGAGAAUGUUGUACCUAAUCCGGUGAAUAUAGAAGGGUUUGAGGCUAGAGAUAGAAGGGUCAGACAGGUUCCUAUUUGGAUGAAAGAUUAUGACGGCAGUGAGGGACUAUCCGAGGAAGAAAUUGAGCUGAAUAUAGUUGUUAUUGCUUCCACAAAUCCUAUCAACUAUGAAUAGGCAGUGAAGAGUUCAAAAUGGAGAUCGGCAAUGGAAUCAGAGAUUCACUCCAUUGAAAAGAAUCAGACAUGGGAACUUAUUAACUUGCCAAUUGGUGCCAAAACCAUUGGAGUGAAAUGGAUUUAUAAAAUGAAAUUGAACGGACUUGGAGAGGUAGACAAGUACAAGGCUCGGUUGGUAGCAAAGGGGUAUUUUCAAUAACAAGGGGUAGACCUCACUGAAGUGUUUGCUUCAGUAGCUCGUAUGGAUACAAUGAGGAUGAUAAUGGCACUUGCGGCACAAAGAGGUUGGAAGAUUUACCAAUUGGAUGUAAAAUCAGCGUUUCUCCAUGGUGAACUCAGUGAAGACGUGUUUGUAGAGUAACCGGAAGGUUAUAAAAAAAAGGGGGAGUGAGCAUAAGGUGUAUAAGUUGCAUAAAGCUUUGUACGGUCUAAAACAAGCUCCACGAGCUUGGUUUAGCCGUAUUGAAGAUCAUUUUGUUAAUGAUGGAUUCCAGAAGUGCCCGAAUGAGCAAACUUUAUUCACCAAGAGGAGCAGUGAAUGUAAAGUGUUGAUAGUAAGUAUUUAUGUGGAUGAUCUUAUUUACACUGGUGAUGAUGAGAAUAUGAUGUUUGGUUUUAAGAAUUCUAUGAUGAAAGUUUUUUAUAUGACUGAUUUGGGGAGGAUGAGAUUCUUUCUUAGCAUUGAGGUGUUACAGAGGUCGGAUGGCAAUUUUAUUUGUCAAAAGAGGUAUGCCAUGGAAGUGUUGAAACGUUUUGGGAUGUUUGAAAGCAAGUCAGUAAACAUCCCAAUUGUGCCAGGUUUUAAAAUGAGUAGAGAUAAUCAUGGAGUCACAAUGGAUGAGACUUAUUUAAAAAAAAUAGUGGGCAGUUUGAUGUAUCUCACAGCGACUCGUCCAGAUAUGAUGUUCAGUAUCAGUUUGAUCAGCAGGUACAUGGCUAAACCCACUGAGCUUCACUUACAAGCUGCCAAAAGGAUUUUGAGAUACUUAAAAGGCAUAACAAAUUAUGGGAUUUUGAAUAAGAAGGGAGGGGAAGAAGAAGAGCUGCUUGCUUUCACGGAUAGUGACUAUGCAGGUGACAUAGAUGAUCGUAAAAGCACGUCUGGUUAUGUGUUUCUUUUAAGCUCAGGUGCAGUAUCAUGACUGUAAAAAAAGCAACCUAUAGUUACGAUGUCAACCACUAAAGCGGAAUUCGUGGCUGCUGCUGCUUGUGCCUGUCAGGCAAUAUGGAUGAGGAGAGUGUUAAAGUAGUUGGGACAUGAACAGAAGAGUUGCACCACUAUCAUGUGUGACAAUAGUUCAACAAUUAAGCUUUCAAGAAAUCUAGUUAUGCACGGAAGGAGCAAGCACAUUGAUGUACAGUUUCAUUUCUUGAGAGAUCUUACAAAAGAUGGUGUUGUUAAAUUAAUUCAUUGCGGAACUCAAGAGCAAGUGGCUGAUUUGAUGACAAAGUCAUUAAAGUUAGAAGCAUUUCAGAAACUCAGGAAGAUGAUGGGGGUGUGUGAAGUCACUGGUAUAAACUAAUGCAGUUUGCAUUUAGUUUAAGGGAGGGUAUGAAAGAGUCGUUUGGGUUUUACUUAGUCUGCUUUCUGUUUCAAUAAAUCAUAGUCUUUGGGGAUGUUGUUAUUUGACUUAUUCUUUGUUAAACACGUAGCUAAGAUAAUGGCUAACGUGUCCUAUUUAUAUGCUUUCUGUUAGUGCUGAAAAUGGCUAUUAAAAGCCAAGUUGAGUUUCAAUAAAAGAUGACAUUCAGUCCACUUUAUUAAGCUUUCGUUACUGCAGUCAAUUGAUUCUAAUAUUAGGUACUAUUUUUUAAAUGGUAUUUUCUAAAAGAGUAAUAAUAUAAUUACAAAUGAUAUUAUUAUACAAAAUGAUGGUGCAUAACAUGAUUGAUUUGAAUAAAGAUGUCUAGUAAUGAAAAAAAAAUCAUGUGACCUAUGUGGAAUUACAAAAAUAGUUUGCAAUAUUACACGAGUUUUUUUUUUUUAAUAAAAAAUUCCGUUAUAUAUAUAUAUAAUUUUGGCUCUAAUGGUCUAUCUCUGACUUUUAAAGAUUCAGGAGUGAUUAAAGUUUAUGUUGUUCUCUUUUUGCCCUUGUUCUCUCACUGUUUAUUUAUUUUUCUCCUCACAGUCUAUAUUUGACUUUGGUUAAUGACUAAAAAGAAUACCUACCCUGAAAAGUAACAUUCAAAAUCAUUUAUAAAAUUAUUUUUAAGUUAUAUUUAUAUUUAUGAUAAAAAUUGUAGAAAGUCACGUAAGUACUACGCUUUUUUCAGAAAGUCACCUAAGUACUACCAUUUUUUUUUUGUAUGAAGUCACUCAAGUACUACUUUUUUCUUUUUUUUUGUUUCCCAGGGAAUCAGUUAAGUUCUUGUUUUAGAAGGUCCUACCAAACACCUCUUUGAGUUUUGAUCAAUUCAAUUAUUGAGAACAAUUUUUAUUUCUCCAAAAAUCUAUUAAAAAAAAAGUACCUAACGCUCCAUUUCAUUUACCAAAUUUUCGAUGGACUCCAAACAGUGUUUCCUUAUCAAUAGCCACGAGUCAAAAUGAGCAGGCUAUAUAUGAGUAGCUUAUAAUGGACUUACAGAUUCUUCUACGUUUCAUCAUUUCCAGCUUCAUAACAAAAUAAUAAUAAUAAUGAUAAUAAAUAAAACAAUUGUUGCCGUCAAUUUAAUUUGUCAAAAGUGAUUUAGUGUUAUGAAGCAAGUGCGUGAGAAAUGCUACAGUACUUCACUUGCUACUUAAUAGGAAAAUUGAUUCCAAUCGCAUGCUGUAGUUAGCAAUGAAACUGAAAACGAUGAAUGAGUCAAUAACUCAUAUUCAGUGUUUCCAAAGGUGACCGAGUUAAUUAUUACAUCAUUUAAGAAUCAACUUAAAUUUGCCUCUUGUUAUUAUUCGAAUUCUGGCGAUUGUGCCAACCAAGCUGACUAGGGGGGUAUUAUCACAUAUUUAGUACUUCAUAAGGAAUCCAUGUAAGUAAAAUACUGUAAUCAGACUUCAAUCAGACAUGUAGUUGAGACAUAUGUACUUUAAAUUGAUACAUCGGAUCCGUCCGCGUAGGCAUUAGGUUGAGCUUUGGCUCUUAGUUGGACAAUUUGUAAUUGUACUAUAUCUAUAAUGUAUAUAAUAUUCACAAAAGAGAACUGGAGUGGAGCUAUUUAGACCCCUCCAUUAAUAUCUUCAAACCCCAAUUAUUAUUUUUAUUUUUACUAAAAUUUUACUGUUAACCAAAAUUACUGAAAUGGGAAUCAAAAUGCUUUACAAUUUCUAGACAUUCAUCCUCAACUCAAAAUACCAGCAGCCUCUACCCUUUCUGUUGCUUUUGAUUUGAUUUGAUCAACUAUUCAACUUUCAAAUUCUUCUCCACCAAUUUCUACAGCUAUUUCCCAAGUCCCUUCCGAAAAGAUCUUCGAAGAAAACUGAAAUUCGUAAAAACAAGUCUAUUUUCAAGGGGGAAGGAAUGAUACAAACUCUUAAAAUAAUUAAAAUUAUUUAAUUUUAUGUUAUUAGUUAAUUUUGAACUAGUCAAAAGUAAUUACACUUUGUAGAACUACAUGUAAGUAGUGGAGCAUUAUGUGAAAACAUGCUUAGUAUUACUAAUUCUUAAGUUGUAAUCUUAAAUAAACUUUAUUAUAUAAAACUUGAUGUUAUUCAAUAACAAGUAUCAUAAGUUCAUUAUUUUGGCAACGUAAAAAUUGUAAUUGAAAGUUUAUUGGUUUCUUAAAUAACCAAUACUUAUUUGGAAGUUUGGAUUUUCUCGAAUUAACUGAGUUUCCUCGAAUUAAUCCCAUUUGUCAUCUAAUUUUUCUGUUUUAUUUGAUUUCUCCUCCUAAACAUUAUUGUCCAUAUCACAAUGAAAUUCAGAUCAUUAGGCUGUCCCAAAAAAUUGGAGGGUUAAUUACUAAGCAUAUUCAGGAUUAUAGAUCACAAUGAGACCGAAAAUACAUGCUACACAGGGUAUGGAGACAGACAAAAAUUCAGGAAGAAAAAUGAGAAAAGAAAACCCUGUUAAGCAAAAGCAAAAUUUGUAAAAGGAAAGAAAAAUACAUCAAGAAUACAACCCACCAUUGACCUAUUUUCAAGCUUGUACGUUAUCUCUGACUCCACUGCAAUGUAAAAUGUUGUUGAGCUUUCGCAUUUGCACGAUGUCGUUCAUAGCAAUUCCCACUGCCGCUUUAACAAAUCAAUGCGGUCAGAUCAGUAGGGCCGCAAAUGCUGCUGAUAUCAGUAAAUGAAUUCUGGAAACUGGCAGGCUUGUAGCCCCAGAGAAGGGGCUUACAGGUCCGGACGCCACAGGAGGCAGAAACCCCCCUCUCGUGCUUGAAUGAGAGCUGUUUCAAGAUAUUAAAUGUUUAGAGCCACCCACAAUAGAUAAAUAAAUAGAACUACGGUUUAUAAUUCAGGACAGUUUAAAUGUAAAUAAAUUCAGAUUCUCACCUCCCUGCAUACGUACAGGAUCCGUAACCUGUAAGAAAGUAACCAAUGACACAAAAUCAGAAAAAAUAUAAGAAAAAUGAAUAGAAGGAAAUGAAAUGAAAGACAGAUAUAGAUUGCUCAGUACAAGAAACAGUGCAAGCUUAAUGAUGUAUAGUAGAAAGUCACGUAAGUACUACGCUUUUUUCAGAAAGUCACCUAAGUACUACCAUUUUUUUUUUGUAUGAAGUCACUCAAGUACUACUUUUUUCUUUUUUUUUGUUUCCCAGGGAAUCAGUUAAGUUCUUGUUUUAGAAGGUCCUACCAAACACCUCUUUGAGUUUUGAUCAAUUCAAUUAUUGAGAACAAUUUUUAUUUCUCCAAAAAUCUAUUAAAAAAAAAGUACCUAACGCUCCAUUUCAUUUACCAAAUUUUCGAUGGACUCCAAACAGUGUUUCCUUAUCAAUAGCCACGAGUCAAAAUGAGCAGGCUAUAUAUGAGUAGCUUAUAAUGGACUUACAGAUUCUUCUACGUUUCAUCAUUUCCAGCUUCAUAUAUAACAAAAUAAUAAUAAUAAUGAUAAUAAAUAAAACAAUUGUUGCCGUCAAUUUAAUUUGUCAAAAGUGAUUUAGUGUUAUGAAGCAAGUGCGUGAGAAAUGCUACAGUACUUCACUUGCUACUUAAUAGGAAAAUUGAUUCCAAUCGCAUGCUGUAGUUAGCAAUGAAACUGAAAGCGAUGAUUGAGUCAAUAACUCAUAUUCAGUGUUUCCAAAGGUGACCGAGUUAAUUAUUACAUCAUUUAAGAAUCAACUUAAAUUUGCCUCUUAUUAUUAUUCGAAUUCAGGCGAUUGUGCCAACCAAGCUGACUUGGGGGUAUUAUAGAAUAUUUAGUACUUCAUAUGGAAUCCAUGUAAGUAAAAUACUGCUUAAUCCAUGUAAUUAAAAUACAGUUUUCUCAAAUGCUUUCAUUUUACAAAGAGUAACAAUCUAAUAAUUAUAAUCAGACUUCAAUCAAACAUAUUGUUGAGACAUAUGUAUUUUAAAUUGAUACAUCGGAUCCGUCCGCGUAGGCAUUAGGUUGAGCUUUGGCUCUUAGUUGGACAAUUUGUAAUUGUACUAUAUCUACAAUGUAAUAUUCACAAAAGAGAACUGGAGUGGAGCUAUUUAGACCCCUCCAUUAAUAUCUUCAAACCCCAAUUAUUAUUUUUAUUUUUACUACAAUUUCACUGUUAACCAAAAUUACUGAAAUGGGAAUCAAAAUGCUUUACAAUUUCUGGACAAUCAUCCUCAACUCAAAAUACGAGCAGCCUCUACCCUCUCUGUUGCUUUUGAUUUGAUCAACUAUUCAACUUUCAAAUUCUUCUCCACCAAUUUCUACAGCUAUUUCCCAAGUCCCUUCCGAAAACGAUCUUCGAAGAAAAAUGAAAUUCGUAAAAACAAGAAGUCACUUUUAUUGUUUAUUCAUUGGUAUCAAAGUAACAAUACGUUGAGAAGAAACUUCUCUUAUCUUCUACAUAAAUUACUCUAUAUAGGGUGUGUUGGAGAAUUAACAAAUAAAACACACAAAAAACACACUAUUUUAUUUCUUCAACAACACUCCUCACCAAUUAAAACUCUUAUUUUUCACUCUCUACACCUUAGAGAUUUUGGUACUUCACUUGAUUCAUAAACCAAAGGGGAGAGAUGGUAUUUAUACAUUAAACAAACUAAUCACAACCAUUCAUUUAUUCAACUACUACACAAAUCCUCAUCAUUCAUUAAAACCUACCACUCACCUACUUCACCAACCACACCUAACACAAAUAAUUCAAACCUCACCAACCAUACCUACUCAUGGAAUCUUCCAUGAGUAGGGCUUGAAUUUAUUCAUUUUGGAUCAAGUUUAUGAUCCAACAAGGUGUUUCUUAACUUGUUAUUUGUUCUGACCUAGAAGAAAAACAAAGGUUCUCAAGGCCAUUCGGAGAAAUGAAGCUUGUUAUCAACAGUUAAUGAUCAAAGCCAAUACAAUCUGGAGAGUUUUGAUGUCCAUUUCAGUAGUUUUCGUUAAAAACAAAUUUGUAAUUAAACUGAAAAUACUAACCGGGGCUUUAUGAGAAUUAUUUAAAGCCGAAUGCAGAGCUGUUUAGAUUGGGGCUGAAAAAUAAAUAAACACUACCAUGAGCUCAAAAUUCUUUGCCGCUUGCUCACACAAAGUUAGCUGUGUUGCAUCAUCUGUAAAUAAGAGUGUACUGUUUUUACAAACAAAUAAGAGUGUACUGUUUUGCAUGGCUUGAGAGUGGCUUGGGAUUAUGGCUUUAGACGUCUUCAAGUGGGAGUGGAUAAUAAGAGCGUAGUGCAUCUUUUGGAAAGGGCUCAUCCUUCAACCAACGAAAAUGCAAUUCUUGUCAAAGCUAUUCGGGAAUUAUUAGCACGUGAUUAGAUCGUCCACAUGGAGCAUGUGUACAGAGAGGCAAAUAGUGCUGUGGAUUUCCUUGCUUCCUAUAGCCUAACUACACCCAUAGGCUUGCAUGUUCUUCUUUCUCCUCCCCCUGCUAUUGUUGGUUUACUUUGUAAUGAUACUUAUGGGAUUGCACACUCUCGUUUAGUAUUGCAUUAGCUCUUCGUGAGCCCUUCUUUAAUAAAAAAUAUAUAUUCUUUGUUUUAGAGUAGGACUCUAAAGUAAAAAUAUUAUUACGUUCUUUUUCACACAACACUAAAAACUAAAAAAACCCUUAAAUCUAAAUUAAUUACUUACAGCAAACAAUGGCUAUUUAAGUUUUGAAAACUCUGUCAUUUAUCUCAAUGUAUUUUUUGUACUAAAAAAGUAUUUUUCAUACAAUAAGAAUAGUACUAUUUGAAAUAAAUAUCGUGACAUUGAUCUUUAACCAAUUAAGUACUCAUUAAUAUGAUUAUUAAGCUUCAAGUAAAUUUAGAAAAUGUGUCUGUGGCAUGAUAUAUCAAGAAAUUUAUUGGCUACGAAAUAUAUGUUAUUUAUCUCAUGAAAUUAUUAGUUAUGUGAAGGAUUUAAUUUAUUAAUUGCUUAAAUAAUGUCCCCAUCAAGAAAAAAAAAAUGGAAACAAAAUUGACUAGAAAAAAAAAUUGAAAAUAUCCUUUGUGUAAUUAUAAACAAUUGUGGCAAUAAAGUAAAAUACCAUUUCACUACAAAUAUCGCACCAUGCAAGGACACAUUAAUUUGUACACAUUCUUUUGCACCAAGUAUUUGUAGCAUGUCAUAUAUUCAUAAGAGUGUGUGUGCGUGUCUAUAUAUAUAUUCGCCAACUACUCUACUAUUGAUUGAUCACUCCUUAACCCCAAACCCAAGAAGGAAAGAUUCAGGAAAGUCGAUUGGCGUGAAACGAUAAAAGCUUAUUUAAUGAUAGGUCAGGCCUUCAGAAAGACUUUUUUGUACCAUCUUAAUCUUUUAGUUUUCACUUUAAAAAAAAAAAGUAAGACAGUAAAGUAACAAAAAGAAAUUACAUUAGAAAUUUCCUUUGUUUAUGAAAAGUACAAAUGCAUCAAUGUAGUACAAAUAGGCAUUAAUGAUGUAACUAGUUGCAACAUCACUAAAUAUAAACCAUCCAUCUUGCAGGGCUAAGUCUCCAAGAUAAAAUGGCACCAACUAAUGGCUCUAUCCUCGCAACUGAGUCCUGGGAUAUUGCUGAUUUUGUUAUAAACACAGGUCAUGGAGUCAAGGGUCUCGCCGAAAUGGGACUCAAAAGCCUCCAAAAACAAUUUCACCAACCCUUACAAGAAAGACUCAGUGAGAAGAAAAUCUUGGGUCAAGUAUCAAUUCCCUUCAUUAAUAAGUUAAAAUGGGAGAGUCCUGAAGUCGCAAAAUCCAUUUGCGAUGCCGCUGAGAGUUGGGGAUUUUUCCAGAUUGUGAAUCAUGGUGUGCCCCUGUAAGUACUCGAGACAGUAAGGGAAGUGUUUUAGACAGAUUUUAGGUGCAAAGGAAAAAAAGAAAAACCUAUCUAAAACAAUAAAUUUAUUUUAUAGGACAACCAGAGUACCUCAUUAGGUCGUUGUUUGUGAUAUUUUUAAGAUCCGAAAAGAGGUAAGCAGAGUGGGGGGAUGGUGAUGACAGUGAGAGGUUGAAAUCUGGAGAUGAGGUCUCUUAAGGUGAGCUUUUAACCUGCAAAACAAUGCAAAUAAGGUUAGAGGUGAAGCCAUGGUGCCCCGGCAUUCACUUCGAUGCUCAAGUCAACAACUGAAGCUUUCUUAUGGUGACGCAAGCUUGCCAACCCUCUGAAAUCGUGGUUUAAGAUUGAAGAAGGCUUUUUGUGGAGUAUGUGUGAUCAUAAAUGAUGAAAAUAAACCUAGAUGUCUUUAUAUAUAUAGUACAUUGGCUGCCACGUGGCGUAUUUUCAAUGGUUUUUGGUUGUCCUUUUACCUUUUUAUGAUUUUGGGCCAUUUGGGAGCAUGCUUGAGGCGCAAGAAGGCGUUUCAUGACAUAUUUUAUCCCUUUGGAUACGUGGCGUAGGCUGGAGAGUGGUCCGAAGUACCUCAACAAAAGUUGUCUGGUAAGGCGGCUAAGGACCACUAUCCUAGGGGCAGCGUCCUUCACUUUUUGACAGUGGUGAUAGUCGGCUGUCACUACUUUUUCGACAUGAUAUUUUGAUAUCUAAUUUUUACAAAAUCCAAUAUUAUAUUUUAGGCGAUGGAGACGUUUCUCAUGACCAACUUUUUAGAUAUGUUUCCUUAAUUGUUUCGCUUAUGAUCUAUUGAGUACCUUGGGUACCGAGUUUUGUGGGGGUAGGCCGAGUACCCCGGGUACCGAGUUUUGGGGGGUAGGUCGAGUACCCCGGUUACUGAGUUAUAAGGGGUAGAUCGGAUACCUCAGAGGUGUACAGUGAUUGUCAUGGAGCCUCAUUGACACGUGGCAUUCUACUACAAUCUUUUCUGUUUCUUCCCAAACAUGAAGCAACUCACAGGUUUUUUGUGUAACCAGCAGAGGAGAAGAGGAAGUACUCAAAGGAGAAUUCACCAACCAAUAAUGUCAGGUUCGGCUCAAGCUUUGUUCGUCAUGUGGAAAGGGCUCUAGAUUGGAAAGACUCUCUGAGCCUGUUUUAUGUUUCUGAGGAAGAAACUGCUGCUUUUUGGCCUCCUGUUUGCAAGCAAGUGCCAAUAAAUACAUGAAUAUUUUAAAUGUACUGUUUAAAAUUGAAGUUGGCAACUAUAGCUUAUAAGCUAUAACAUUAAAGUACUUGGUAAAAAAUAAUUGUUAUGACUUGGAAAUAAAAUUAAUUUCAUCCACCACUUGUAUGAUGAAGAACUUAUAAUAUAUUCAUUAUUUUUCUCAAACUUAUUAUUUAAAAGUCAUAUUUACUAACCACUGACUUUUAUUUACUGUUUUUUUUUUAAAACAACAAACUAUAUCUUUUAAGUUAGAGCAUUUGAAAGCCAAAUAAGGCCAAGAUUGUGGACUAAAUGUUACGAUUUUGUUUUUUUUUUCUUUCGGCCUGUAGGGAUGAAAUGCUGGAGUACAGGAAGAGUUCUGAAGUUCUCAUCAAACGUUUAAUGCAUGUGCUAGUCAAGGGGCUAAACGUCAAAAGAAUUGAUGAAAUAAGAGCCCUUAUGUUGUUGGGUUCAAGAAGAGCAACCUCAACUACUAUCCUAUGUGUCCGAAUCCUGAACACACAGUGGGAGUAGGCCGUCAUUCAGAUAUUUCAACAUUCACUAUCCUCCUCUAGGAUGACAUCGGGGGACUUCACGUGCGAAAAGACAAUGUUAAUGGCUGGAUUCAUGUCUCUCCAAUUAGCGGAUCAUUCAUUAUCAACAUUUGAGAUGCAUUGCAAAUCAUAAGAAACGGUCGAUACAAGAGUUUUGAGCACUAUGUGAUUGGCAAUGGAAGCCAGAACAGGAUUUCGGUCCCCCUUUUCGUGAACCUGAAACCUGAAGCCAUACUCUGUCCUUUUCCUAAAGUUCUUGCAAAUGGGGAGAAGCCACUGUAUAAGCCAGUUCUGUGCGCAGACUAUUCCAGGCAUUUCUAUACCAAGGCACAUGAUGGGAAAACUAUCGACUUUGCAAAGAUAAGCAACGUUUGCGAUGAAAAUAUGUGAAUGCCUAGCCAAUUGUUAUCUUGAUAAAAAUAAAGGUCAUGAAGGUUGAAUUCCAUGACUAAUGUUGAGACCAGUUCUUCACUCCUGGAUAUCAAAAUAUAUGCGUUGUUUUAAGGUUUUACUCAUGUUGCAACACUCUAUGAUUCAAUUUUUCAUUUCAAUAAAUUGAAUUUGUCUUUAUUCACAUUGUUUUCCUAGCUAGUUUAGUAUUUUCUUGUUUACGUAUUUAUCAUCCUUAUCUGUUUUCCAGAGCCAAUAUAAAGGCUCUACAUUGUACAAUUUUAUGACUCACAUAAACUGUAGGACUUAAGGUGCUAUAAACAAAUCAAACAACCUCAGAUCCUGCCCAAGAUCACCAACCAAAUUUACCAAGAUGCUUCAAGAUUGAUGACUGAAGAAUUUGACUAAGUUUAAUCAAUGGAAUGUGACGACUAACCAACAAACUAUAUUUACUGUUUUUACUGUAAAUAAUAUAUUCAUUAUUUUUCUCAAACUUAUUAUUUAAAAGUCAUAUUUACUAACCAUUGACUUUUAUUUACUGUUUUUUUUAAAACAACAAACUAUACCUUUUAAGUUACACCACUUGAAAGCCAAACAGGGCCUAAGAUUGUGGACUAAACGUUACGAUUUUGUUUUUUUCUUUGGGCUUGUAGGGAUGAAAUGCUAGAGUACACGAAGAGUUCUGAAGUUCUCAUCAAACGUUUAAUGCUGUGCUAGUCAAGGGGCUAAACGUCAAAAGAAUUGAUGAAAUAAGAGCCCUUAUGUUGUUGGGUUCAAGAAGAGUCAACCUCAACUACUAUCCUAUGUGUCCGAAUCCUGAACAUACAGUGGGAGUAGGCCGUCAUUCAGAUAUUUCAACAUUCACUAUCCUCCUCCAGGAUGACAUCGGGGGACUUCACGUGCGAAAAGAUAAUGGUAAUGGCUGGAUUCAUGUCUCUCUAAUUAGCAGAUCAUUCAUUAUCAACAUUUGGGAUCCAUUGCAAAUCAUAAGCAAAGGUCGACACAAGAGUAUUGAGUACUGUGUGAUUGCCAAUGGAAGCCAGAACAUGAUUUUGGUCCUCCUUUUCGUGAACCCGAAACCUGAAGGCAUACUCUGUCCUUUUCCUGAAGUGCUUGCAAAUGGAAAGAAGCCAUUGUAUAAGCCAGUUCUGUGAGCAGACUAUUCUAGGCAUUUCUAUACCAAGGCACAUGUUGGGAAUAAAACUAUCGACUUUGCAAAGAUAAGCAACGUUUGCGAUGAAAAUAUGUGAAUGCCUAGCCAAUUGUUAUCUUGAUAAAAAUAAAGAGCAAGGUCUUGAAGUUUGAUUUCCAAGACUAAUGCUGAGACCAGUUCUUCACUCCUGGAUAUCAAAAUAUAUGCGUUGUUUAAGGGUUUUACUCAUGUUGCAACACUCUAUUUACUGAAUUCAAUUUGUCAUUUCAAUAAAUUGAAUUUGUCUUUAUUCACAUUGUUUUCCUAGCCAGUUUAGUAUUUCUUGUUUACGUCAUAUUUAUCAUCCUUAUCUGUUUUCCAGAGCCAAUAUAAAGGCAUCUGCAUUGUACAAUUUUAUGACUCACAUAAACUGUAGGACUUAAGGUGCUAUAAACAAAUCAAACAACCUCAGAUCCUGCCCAAGAUCACCAACCAAAUUUACCAAGAUGCUUCAAGAUUGAUGACUGAAGAAUUUGACUAAGUUUAAUCAAUGGAAUGUGACGACUAACCAACCAGAAUCAAAGAAAAAAAAAGAUAUAGAAUGAACAAAGAACAAGAGAGAUUUUACGUGGUUCAGCGGGAUUUCUCUAACUUACAUCCACCGGAAGGCAAAUAUGAUCAGUCUUAUUGAUUCUCAAGAUGAUUUACAGAGCAAUGCCAUGAGCUACAAUACAAGAUCUGGACUCCUCAUUUAUACCAGCCCUUUCUCUCUCUAUAGCUCUCUAAUCACCCAAAACCGUUGAACCAGAACCAGCUGCUUCACCACAGCUUCAUAACGAACCCAGAGCAUUCCCAGCAACUCACGUGAGUUCCUUGUGCAUUAACGGCAUUUAACGAACCUUGUGAGCUGUUUACAAACACGUGAUAUUCACUUGCUUAACUCAAAGCUAUACGGUACACUUAUAUGUCGUUUCAAGGAGUGUUUUAUUUGCUCAUCAAAACGCACGUAUUUCUUGUCGUUUGGCUUAAGUGAUUCCAGCUUCAAAACACAAGAUCCUCUGUCGUUUUGAAUCUCUGGAUUUGCUUCCAUACUCAACAUAAACCUAUUGUUUUAUCUAAGAAAGACUUUGGUUGAAGGAAUCGGCCUACCAUAAAAGAUAGUCAAUGAACCUUAUCUCAUUGGCAUGUUAGUACAUAAGUUUAGACAUAAUCUAUUUAUUUUCGGCUAAAAUUAUUCAUAUAUUUGUAAGUAUUAGUUAACUUAAAUCAAUUUUAAAUUAUACCAAGCUCCGAAAUGUCAGAUUUGGAAUCGGCGAGCUCCUCCUAUGGGCUAAAUAAAGAUAAAUUGUAAUAGCUUCUCAAAAGGAAAUCCAGGUGAUGCUACUUGUGGGGCUAUUUUUGGGGAUCAUCUUUAGGGGCACGUAGGCAGUUUUGGUUUGUUCUUAAGUCAUGAGUCGGCUUUUUUAACCGAACUUAUGCCAACAGUCGGAUAAGACUUUGGCUUCAGGGGGAUUCAUUGGUGGUGGUUUAUUGCUUUAAGCGUAAUGACUUUAAUUCGCCAUAAACUCUUUGAAUUAUAUAAUAUUUCAGAGAUAAUACAACUAAUUAAUGCAUAUAUUAUAUGUGUAAUUAAAUUUAAUAUAAUCACCACUUGUAUUCUUUAAUUGUCAAUGUGGGAAGACCAUUCUUCCAAUAAUCUAUAUAAUAAAACCUCAUAUUUAAUUGAGUACAACUCUUUGAUAUUUUAUAUCAUAUAUGUUAAUCAAUUUUAUUAUAGUUUGUGAUGUUUUUAUAUGAAAAAUAUUCAUAAAAAUUAUGAAGAUAAAUAAUGCUAAUUUGAGCAAAAUAAAAAGAUAAAAAUAAUAAUAGUCUGCCACUAUAUAUUAUCACAAGUUAUAUACAGAUGGGUAAUAAUGCUAAUUAUUAAAUUUUAUUUAGUUAAGGAUGAUAAUUAAUUAAUUAGAUAGGAAUAUUUUGAAAAAUAUCUUUUAAUGAUAGCAUUCAAACUUUUUAGAUUAAAUAAAAAGCUAAAAAAAUUAGUUUAAUAACUUAAUGACUUAAUUGCUGAAAAUCUUUAUUAAGUUGAAAAAACAAAUAGACUUAAUGACGUAACUAACUAAAAUUAAGUCAAUUAACUCAUUAAGUAAAAAAAACAAACAAACCAUUAUAAAAUAAGUCAUCUUACCUUUUUAAACUUCCUAUUUUGAACCUUUAAUAUUUUAACAGAAUGACAAUUAUGUCUUUUUUUUUCAUAAACCAUAAUAUAUAAAUUAACUAUCAGAUAUCACAUUAUUAUCAGCAUAAUCAAGUUACCCCAAUAGCAAUUAGAUCAUCGCAAUCAUGGCAUUGCACAAUUAUAUCAAGAGGCAUGCACAAUGUGAUCUUUAUUUUGACAACAUUGAAAAUAAUUCUAGUUUAAUCAUUGAUGAAGGCAUAAAAAGAGAUAAUGACACUUCAAAAGAGUAUCACUAUACUAAUGUCUCUAGAUCACAAUAAAUGAAAAUUUUAAGGAAUAUUAUUACAACAAGUUUAAUGUGAAUAUAAUGCAUAUUAGUUUUUAUUUUUAAUGGAUUAUAUAGUAGCAUGAAUUUUUAUCAUAUUUUAUGUAACAAAUUAUGAAGUUCAUUAGAUUAUAUUUAAUUAAGUCUUUUUUUUUCACUUUAUGUGACUUUACAUAUUAAAAAGAAAAGGCAUCUCUAAACAAUUUAUUAAAUAAAAUUUAAAAAUCUGGAUAUAGCCUGCAUCUUCCAAGAAAAAUCUAGAUCUGUAUAUUAAAAAAUGUGGAUCCAGAUGUGGAAAGUUGUGAUCCACACGGAUCCGAAUUCGGAUCUAGAUGUAAGUGCAUCCAGAAAACUAAAUAUCUAGAUCCGGUUAAAUUUUAUUUUAAAUGAAAAAUCAAAUUAAAAACAUAUAUUAAAAAUUAAAUUUUAUUUAUGGAUUUAUGAUUUUGUAUGUUAUUCAUGUUAAAUUAUUAAUUAUUGAAUUUUAUUUUAUACUAUUAAGUAAAUUAUUGAGUUUUAAAUUAUAUAUUAAAUUAUUAAUUUUUUUAUUUUUUGGAUCCAGAUAUAUGAAAUAUCCACCUACAUCUGUUUGCAAGUAUUACCCACAUCUAGAUUCACAUUUUUUUUUCAAAUUUGGAUGUGGAUUUGGAUAUAGAAAAAUAAAUAUAGAUCUAGAUCCGGAUGCACUUAUAUAUAUGUGGAUCCGGAUCCGAAUUUUGCCAAUCCUAGGCAAUAGUCUAACCUCAACGAAGAAAAAUUCUUUAAGAGCCACAAAGUUUUAUGAUUUGUUAUAUAAGAACGUGAAUUUCAUUAUUUUUAUAGUAUGUCCUAGAUUCGAUCUCUCCUAAAAUAAUUGAAAUACCUUUUAUACUUACGUUACUCUUACAAGGGAUUUUUAAAUUCAAUAUGAAAGGAGUAAUUUACCAUUUCAAUUGAACAAAGCAUAUCUUUAUUGAAGAAAAUAAAGACACUAUUGUCACUAGUAAUGGAAUGUUACAAAAUCGCCACAAUUGAUGAAUAUAUAGUAAUAACUUUUUCAUGGUUUAUUUCCUUUACAAUUAGACUUGCUCCUUCUUUAAUAAUUGUAUCAAAUUAUUCUAUUAUUUCACCUACUCUCUAUUAUUGAAAUUAAAAAAGAAUUUCAAGAAAUAAUAUUUCAUGAUACGUACAAUUUUAUAAUUUCUAUUAUAAUUACGUUAACCAUCUCCAAUGCAUAACACCAUUUUGGCAUAACACCAACACUAAAAAUGUACAUUUUUCACAUCAAAUUACUAUUUCAUCUCUAACUCAUUUAAACCAAAAAAAAUAUUCUUCUUUUAUUCCUUUAAUUCUCAAGAAUUAAUUCAAUUAACACAAUAAAUAUUACUAUUAAUAUAGAUAAUUAAGUAAUAAGUAAUUUUAUAUCGAUUAACAAAAAAAAUAUAGAAAAUUAUUAAAUUUGCAUUUAAUUAACUAAAUUAGUACAUUAUGAAAAUUAAACAUUACAUUAGUAUAGAAAAAUACAAUAACAAUAAAUAACAACAAUAAUGAUCUUGGAGGAUCUAAUAAUGAUCUCCCACAUUACUAAAUAAUUGUUCUAAUUUAUGCUAGUAGUAGUAGCUUUUUUAAUUUGUGUUAAUUUAAUUUUGUAUUUUUAAUUUUGUAAUAUGUAAUCUAGUAAUUAAUGUUAUUGACAUUUUAUUUUUAUUACUAAUUUUUUAGUUGAAUAUUUUUUAUUUAAAAUAUUAGUAUAAUAUUGAAAAAUUAAAAAAAUAACAAAAAUAAUAAUAAUAACUUAAAAUAUUAUAUAAAAUAGGACAUAUAUGUAAAUAAGAUAAUGUAAUAAGGAUAUUUGAGACUUUUUAUUCGUAGCACCAAAUAUGGUGCAAAUGAAUAGUGUUGCACCAUAUUUGGUGCAAUACUAUUCAUUACACCAUUUUAGUGUUAUAUUAGAGAAACAUUUUACACCAAAAUGGUGUAAAAUGUGAUUUGAUGUUUGGUUUAGUGCUACAUUGGAGAUGCCCUUAUAAGUUAAUUUUUCAUAUUUUUUCUUUUUUUUAAUUUUUAACACACACACACACACACACACACACACACACACACACACACACACAUAUAUAUAUAUAUAUAUAUAUAUAUUGUUAAGAGUAAGGUUCGUGAUGUUUAAUUUGUUACUAUAUAUUUUGCUGCUUCAACUGUACCGGACAGUAGAACAAAUACCUACAAUCAAUUUUAAUUUAGCCAUGUUUUAUUCAAAACCUGGAUCCAUCCAAAUUUAAACAUUUAGACUUAAGCUUGAACUGGGCUUGAGGUUGAAGACAAAUACCAGAGUAUCAUUAUACCAUAAGGACGUAACAUCAUAAUUACGAUCAUGACACCAAUAAAGUUCUAAAAAUAAAUAUCUAUAAGGUUUCUGGUAACUUCAAAAAGAUCUCGUAAAGUGUCAGAAAAAACAUGCACAGAACACAAAUACAAUUUAUUUAUAUGACAAAUAGAAACAAGUACAUAGAGCUUUGAAGCCAGAAAAAAACCCUUCAUAACAAUAAAUUUAUUUUUCCAUAGCAGGAGUGAAGAACUGGCCUCAGCAUUAUUCACUGAAUCCCACCUUCAUCUCCGUGCACUUUAUUUUCAUCAAGAUAACAAUUAGCUAGGCAUUCACUUAUUUUCAUCUCAAAUGUCGCUUAUCUUUGCAAAGUCGAUAGUUUUCUUCCCAUCAUGUGCCUUGGUAUAGAAAUGCCUGGAAUAGUCUGCGCACAGAACUGGCUUAUACAGUGGCUUCUCCCCAUUUGCAAGCACUUCGGGGAAAGGACAGAGUAUGGCUUCAGGUUUUGGGUUCACGAAAAGGGGGACCGAAAUCCUGUUCUGGCUUCCAUUGGCAAUCACACAAUGCUCAACACUUUUGUAUCGACCAUUGCUCAUGAUUUGCAAUGCAUCACCAACGUUGAUAAUGAGUGAUCCGCUAAUUGGAGCGACAUGAAUCCAUUCAGUACCGUUGUCUUUUCGCACGUGAAGUCCCCCGAUGUCAUCCUGGAGGAGGAUAGUAAAUGUUGAAAUAUCUGAAUGACGGCCUACCCCAACUGUGAGUUCAGGAUUGGGACACAUAGGAUAAUAGUUGAGGUUAACUCUUCUUGAGCCCAACAACAUAGGUUCUCUUAUUUCAUCAAUUCGUUUCACGUUUAGCCCCUUUACUAGCACAUGCAUUAAACGUCUGAUGAGAACUUCAGA
This 21941-nucleotide long non-coding RNA is filed under the name Citrus sinensis (sweet orange). RNAcentral describes it as "long non-coding RNA (CSIN_LNC003715)". The record is from RNAcentral. Lineage: Eukaryota; Viridiplantae; Streptophyta; Magnoliopsida; Sapindales; Rutaceae.